RNAcentral lists this long non-coding RNA (3701 nucleotides) under Homo sapiens (human). RNAcentral describes it as "HSALNT0361711". Lineage: Eukaryota; Metazoa; Chordata; Mammalia; Primates; Hominidae. The record is from RNAcentral.
GACUCGAACAGACAUGCGAGACCUCUACCAACUGAAGGUUUCGUGAGCGCACUCCUUUGCCAAGAUCUUGGUGAAUAGUCUUUCACUGUGCAAUUUUAUCUUAGAAAUUGUUUUACGUUUGAUCAUGAUUGUGCUUGGCUGGAUGUUUUUUGUUGGACUUGUGUGUUACAUGGGCACGUUUCCAGAGUUGAUGCCUCCAACUCUGAAGUGGCAGGAGAGGUGGCCUGUUCAGGAGAGCAAAACACAACUGAGGAGGCGGGCUUUAGGUGAAGAUCUGCUGCAGAUUUCUGUGAAUGCAUUAGCCCAAAGCAGUCAGAACUUUGUGGCAGUCCUGACCAGACCACUUAAACUAUUCUGUGCCUCACUUUCUCCAGCUGCGAAAUGAGUAAACAGACAGCCCAUCUUCCUUCUCUUCCCUUCUCAGGAAAGUUGUAAAUAGGCUCACCCUACAUGUUAAGAGUUUAACUGUACCAUUUUAUAAAAUGAAAGAUUUCUUUUUUGAACAGCCUAACAAUAGCAUAUUAAGUUAUUUGCUCAUGGCAUACCUAGCCAGCUAAUUCUCUUAAUGAAUCCAGGCUUUUUUUCUUUUGCAUAGCAUCUGAUUGCACAAAGCCAAUAGUUAAACAUUUUGGCAGGUGACGAGUUAAUGAGUAUACUGCCAGCUAGGUCCAAAUCACAGACACACCAGAGCACAGGGCCCUUUUGAUAAAUUUUCUUUAACCCAACGCAUCUAGCACCCUGGCCAACCAUCCCAUAGGUGCUCAUGCUGACUGGGUUGCCAAGGUUACAGGAGCUGAUAUCAUAAUUGGUGUCUGAGCUCUGCCCCCCUAAAUGGCCAUGAGGAGCCACUUCAAUUCAGACUAGGCCACGAAGCUCCUUAGUGAGGAGCUGCCAUGCUGGGCCAUCCACCAUCUGGAUUCCUACGACUCAGGGAAUAGAACACUGCACCUUCCAGAAGCACUUGUUUCUUCGUGGGUACACCACCAGCUGAGAAAGAAGCCUCAUGAUGAUUGUUGUCUUAUGGAUGCUUCUCAUUGCAGGAACCAUGUGGAAGGGAUAUAAAUAUCCCCCAGGAGGGACUCCAGUGGAAGUAAGCAAGGAUGAUCCUGGUGAAGUAAUGCAGCUGUGAAGCUCACCUGACCAGCUGUACAGUUCCUGUUGUUGGUUUCACAUAAAGUAAUUGCACAUUAUUUUGUCAUAUUUUAUGUUAAGAAGUUACCGCACUUUUUUUUUUUUUUUUUUUUUUUUUUUGAGACAGAGUCUCGCUGUGUCGCCCAGGCUGGAGUGCAGUGGCGCGAUCUCGGCUCACUGCAAGCUCCGCCUCCCGGGUUCAUGCCAUUCCCCUGCCUCAGCCUCCAGAGUAGCUGGGACUACAGGCGCCUGCCACCACGCCUGGCUAUUUUUUUGUGUUUUUAGUAGAGACGGGGUUUCACCGUGUUAUCCAGGAUGGUCUCGAUCUCCUGACCUCAUGAUCUGCCCGCCUCGGCCUCCCAAAGUGCUGGGAUUACAGGCGUGAGCCAAUGUGCCCGGCAUUACCGCAUUUUUUAAGAUGAAUGAAGACUUAGUAUUCUGUUAGCUUGUAACAGAGAGACAGAGGGUGGGGAAGUAGUUGAGUGGAUGGGAGACAAUUGGGUCCUUCUGCUACAUGGUCUCUAAGACUGGCAUUAAGAUACCUAGUUUUGCCUGGCGCGAUGGCUCACACGUGUGAUCUCAGCACUUUGGGAGGCCAACACAGGUGGAUCAUCUAGGGUCAGGAGUUCAAGACCAGCCUUGCCAACAUGGUGAAACCCCGUCUCUACUAAAAAUACAAAAAAUUAGCUAGGGCGUGGUGUGGUGGCACGUCUGUAGUCCCAGCUACUCGGGAGGCAGUGGUUGCAGUGAGCUGAGAUCGGCCACUGCACUCCAGCCUGGGUGACAGAGUGAGACUCAGUCUCAAAAGAAAAAAAAAAAAGAACCCUAAGCUUAUACCAUGUGGGGUAAGAAACUCAUUUUUAAUAUUAGGGUUAAAUACUGAAGUAUAAUUAUCCUAAUCCUUAAAAUAACCUUCUGAAGCUAUUAGCCUCAUCUUACAAAAUGGCAAAAAUGAAGUUGAGGGGCAUGUUUAUCUUGCCAACACACACAGCCCUGGGCUGCAGAGUCAAGAUUAAGAUCCAGGCCUUCUCCCUUCACACUUUCAUGUGCCAAGGAAAAGAGCCAAACAAGAGACUGUGGGAUAUCCAAGAUCUUGCUGUUUAAAUGUCUCCCUCACCUGAAAACCCAAGAAGUUAGGCCAGGCGUGGUGGCUCACACCUGUAAUCCCAGCACUUUGGGAGGCCGAGGCAGGCGGAUCACUUGAGGUCAGGAGUUCGAGACCCGCUUGGCCAACAUGGUGAAACCCCGUAUCUACUAAAAAUACAAAAAUUAGCCAGGUGUGGUGGUGGGCACCAGUAAUCCUAGCUACUUGGGAGGCUGAGGCAGAAUUGCUUGAACCCGGGAGGUGGGGGUUACAGUGAGCCGAGAUUGCACCACUGCACUCCAGCCUGGGUGACAAAGCAAGACCUUGUCUCAAAAAGAAAAAAAAAAAGAGAAAAGAAAACCCAGGAAGUUGCCUGAUAAUUCUUUUUCAUGACUACUGAAAAGAUGGGAGCCUGAGAGAGACCUAACAGGAGUAAAUACUUUAAAAACAAAUUGUAUGGAACUGUACCCAUUCUGAGGAUGACUGAUACAGUUCCAGUAUUCAAAAGAAGUAUACCUUUUCCAGCAAAGCAGAUCUUUUGUUUACAUAGAAAACAUUUUGUUAUUUGGGAAGUUUGCUUAACUAUUUGUAAGUGGCUCUUUGCAAUUAAUGGAUUACCUUUUUUUAAUGGAAAGAAAAUAAAUUCAAAAUCCAUAAGCAAAACUUUAGUAAUUUCUGACUCUAGGAUACUAGCAUCUUCUAUUUCUUAUGUGAUUUAGACUCAACAUUUUCCAGUGAGUUAAGUACUUACAUCCUCUGGCUGUAUAGCUCUGCCCAUUUGCCUCGUAAUACAUUUUUUUUUGAGACAGUCUCGUUCUGUCACCCAGGAUAGAGUGCAGUGGUGCAAUCUCGGCUCACUGCAACCUCCACCUCCCAGGUUUAAGUGAUUCUUAUACCUCAGCCCCCUGAGUAGCAGGGAUUACAACGCACGCCACAUUUUUGUAUUUUUAGUAGAGACGGAGUUUUGCCAUGUUGGCCAGGCUGGUCUCGAACUCCCAGCCUCAAGUGAUCCACCUGCUUCUACCUCCCAAAGUGCUGGGAUUACAGGUGUGAGCCACUGUGCCCAGCCUGCCUCAUAUACAUUUCUAAGGACUCCUCUUCUCAGCCAUCUCAAGCUGCUUUUAUCAUAAGAGAUAGGACCCUGCUCAUUUUGACAAGAGGAACCAUAUACCCAGCUGUGUCCUCCCUCCAUUUGAGUAAACUUCCAAAACUUGAGCCACUAAAAGAUUCCAUUGCUCUGACCACCUAACAGUUCUCCCAACAUGGGUCAGAGAGCAGAACAGUUCUCUAAGCUGGUAGGGGGAGAGAAGCUCUAUCAUGUUAGAGCAGACAUGAAUGUGUAAGGGAGAAUAAGCAGAGGAGUGUGUGCAAUAGGCAAACCAUAUCUCUGAAGUGUGAUGAGUAUACCGAGGUUUCUAGCUGGAAAAAUGUUCAGGGUGAUGAGAUAAAGAAUAUCUCAAAGUUUUAAUCAAUAAAUGCAAACCAG